Molecule: long non-coding RNA, 609 nt
Organism: Mytilus californianus (California mussel)
Lineage: Eukaryota; Metazoa; Mollusca; Bivalvia; Mytilida; Mytilidae
Exons: 5
Source: RefSeq, a predicted model, not a curated record
GAGGAUUUUAGGAACGAUUUAUUCUGGCCUGGUAAGAACCUUGCCCCAGACGAGAUGAACAAGAAUAUUCAGCUCAACAAUAAUAUCAGAUUAUCAUCCUCUUAUCUCGUCUACUACUAACAGUUUGCACCGCAAUUAAUGAAAACAUUUAUUACGUGUAUACAUCGUGUACGUGUCCCAUUGGAUAUACAAAGCUGGAUAAUCAACAAAUUAGUCGUAACUGUUACCUCUUUGGUGGGGUAGAUAACUAUCUAUCAUGGCAGUUGGCAGAGGCAGAAUGUAUGGGCACUCCAGGUGCUCACUUAUGGGUCCCAGACAUCGAAGAUGAAGCUGAGGCACUUCGGGAAAAAUUUGGAAUAGGUGAUGACGAUGCAGAUGUGUGGACAGGGGCCAUUGAUCUGAACACCAACGGUACAUACCUGUUUACAAUGACCAAUACACAGCUUGAUCUGGAUAAUCUACCGUUUGGAAACGAAGAAGGAUCGAACCGUGGCAGAUGUGUAGAAAUGGAGUUUAAUGAUGAAUGGGUUUAUGAAGAUGGAGUUUGGUAUGAUAUAUAUGGUUGGUUCUGGGAUGCUGAUGAUUGUGACGAAGAUGAGCUGUAUGUGU